This 843-nucleotide ribosomal RNA is filed under the name Bifidobacterium sp. A1. Its description in RNAcentral is "bacterial SSU rRNA". It matches the Rfam family "Bacterial small subunit ribosomal RNA", at positions 50 to 903 of the family's 1533-position model. The record is from RNAcentral. Lineage: Bacteria; Bacillati; Actinomycetota; Actinomycetes; Bifidobacteriales; Bifidobacteriaceae.
UACACAUGCAGUCGAACGGGAUCCAGGCAGCUUGCUGUCUGGUGAGAGUGGCGAACGGGUGAGUAAUGCGUGACCAACCUGCCCCAUGCUUCGGAAUAGCUCCUGGAAACGGGUGGUAAUGCCGGAUGCUCCGCACUGUCGCAUGAUGGUGUGGGAAAGGGUUUACCGGCAUGGGAUGGGGUCGCGUCCUAUCAGCUUGUUGGCGGGGUGAUGGCCUGCCAAGGCUUCGACGGGUAGCCGGCCUGAGAGGGCGACCGGCCACAUUGGGACUGAGAUACGGCCCAGACUCCUACGGGAGGCAGCAGUGGGGAAUAUUGCACAAUGGGCGAAAGCCUGAUGCAGCGACGCCGCGUGCGGGAUGACGGCCUUCGGGUUGUAAACCGCUUUUGAUUGGGAGCAAGCGAGAGUGAGUGUACCUUUCGAAUAAGCACCGGCUAACUACGUGCCAGCAGCCGCGGUAAUACGUAGGGUGCAAGCGUUAUCCGGAUUUAUUGGGCGUAAAGAGCUCGUAGGCGGUUCGUCGCGUCUGGUGUGAAAGUCCAUCGCUUAACGGUGGAUCGGCGCCGGGUACGGGCGGACUGGAGUGCGGUAGGGGAGACUGGAAUUCCCGGUGUAACGGUGGAAUGUGUAGAUAUCGGGAAGAACACCGAUGGCGAAGGCAGGUCUCUGGGCCGUCACUGACGCUGAGGAGCGAAAGCGUGGGGAGCGAACAGGAUUAGAUACCCUGGUAGUCCACGCCGUAAACGGUGGAUGCUGGAUGUGGGGCCCGUUCCACGGGUUCCGUGUCGGAGCUAACGCGUUAAGCAUCCCGCCUGGGGAGUACGGCCGCAAGGCUAGAACUCA